Molecule: ribosomal RNA, 385 nt
Filed under: uncultured bacterium
Lineage: Bacteria
Description: bacterial SSU rRNA
Rfam family: Bacterial small subunit ribosomal RNA
Source: RNAcentral
UGGGGAAUAUUGGGGCAAUGGGCGAAAGCCUGACCCAGCAACGCCGCGUGAGGGAAGAAGGUUUUCGGAUUGUAAACCUCUGUCCUCAGGGACGAAGGAAGUGACGGUACCUGAGGAGGAAGCCCCGGCUAACUACGUGCCAGCAGCCGCGGUAAUACGUAGGGGGCGAGCGUUGUCCGGAAUGACUGGGCGUAAAGGGCGUGUAGGCGGCUUUUUAAGUCUGGAGUGAAAGUCCUGCUUUCAAGGUGGGAAUUGCUUUGGAGACUGGAGAGCUUGAGUGCGGAAGAGGUAAGUGGAAUUCCCAGUGUAGCGGUGAAAUGCGUAGAGAUUGGGAGGAACACCAGUGGCGAAGGCGACUUACUGGGCCGUAACUGACGCUGAGGCG